Molecule: ribosomal RNA, 253 nt
Filed under: uncultured bacterium
Lineage: Bacteria
Description: partial 16S ribosomal RNA
Rfam family: Bacterial small subunit ribosomal RNA
Source: RNAcentral
UACGUAGGGGGCGAGCGUUGUCCGGAAUCACUGGGCGUAAAGGGCGCGUAGGCGGCCUGGUAAGUAGGGGGUGAAAUCCUGCGGCUUAACCGCAGGGCUGCCUUCUAAACUGUCAGGCUUGAGCACGGUAGAGGCAGGUGGAAUUCCCGGUGUAGCGGUGGAAUGCGUAGAGAUCGGGAAGAACAUCGGUGGCGAAGGCGGCCUGCUGGGCUGUUGCUGACGCUGAGGCGCGACAGCGUGGGGAGCAAACAGG